GUCACCGUGAGUCAACAGCUAGUCUUCAGCUUUAUUAAUGCAUAUUAUUAAUUAAAGCAUAUUAUUAUCUUCCUUCAUAUGUGGAUAGAAUCCACUCUUACUUUUCAAAGUUGGCUUAUUCAAUAGUGCGAAGUAUUUGAUACGUUCAUUAAUUAUCUUGGGCACCUGUGGACUUAAUUUCAAGAAUAGUUCCCUUCGAAUGCUGCUAAAAAUCAUGGUGGCUAUAAAUAGCUAGGAGCGGUGGAUAGGAGGAGAGCAUAAUCAUGUUAGUCGCAUAUAUUUCCAAGAUGAAGGCCUUUCUUAUCGUAUGCUUUCUCUUAGCUACCAUCGUCUUCUCUCCCCUGUCCACUUGCACUGCUCGAGAAUUGGCCGAGCGAGCUAUACCCAGCCCAGGUCUUAACCCAGGCAAUGUUCCAUUCAAUUGCGGUAGGGGUAAGCGAUAUUGCGUACCUAGCCAACCACCAAAACGUUGCCCUCCUUACAAGCGUAAUUGUUAGAAGCAAGCAAAGUUGAGUGCUCAAAAAGUAUGGAGAGCUUCUGCUGUCUUUAUCAGUAUGUAAAAUGAUGAGAACUAUUUAUGUGCGGAAAAUAAAUAAAGUUCUCCAGUGGAUUAGAAGAAGCAAGCAACGUUGGGUGCUUAAAAAGUAUGGACGGCUCAUAGUGUCUUUAUCAAUGUGUAAAAUGUUAUUUUGAUAUGGGAACUAUUUAUGUGAGAAAUUAAAAGUAAAACUACUAUUAUAAUUUAUAAUAAAAAGUCUCUUAAUGUAUAGUAAUUUCUUGAUACCAUUUAACUUUUAUUUCAGUAGGGUUAUUCUCAUGAAAAUAUUGAAAGUUAUAAAUAAUUUUCAUCCAAGGUGUCUUAUAUCUGUGUAAGAAUGAGAAGUGUAAUUUAGGAUUAUUAUGGUUGAGGGUAAUUAUGUACGUAGUAAUCUCAUCUAACAGACUUUCUUCUUUAAUCAUGUUGAGCGCGACAUGACAUGAACGGAAAAUGUUUACAAGAAGAUGCCUUCCGGGGCUGUUUAUUUUUUAAAAAAAAAAAAUAGUAUUUUGUGAUUUUUUGAAAAGAAUAUUGCUUGAAAUUAAUAUUUUUUAUUUUUAGAUUGUUGUGAUGUGUUAAUAUGAAAAAUAAUUUUUAAAAAUUUAAAAUAAAAAUAUUAUAUAUAUAUAUAUAUAUCUAAAUAAAAAAAAUAUUUUUAAAAAUAAUAUGUAUAAUCUUAAUAUAUAAAAAGGACCCAUAAAAACACUAUCGUAAUAUAUAAAAAGGACCCAGCAAGCUGACAUAAACUUAGGAAGAGUAGACGAAGAUGCCUUUCGUCUAUAUUUGACUCGGAGUAUAGAUAAUUCUUUUGUAUUGACUUGGAGUCAACGUGCAUGGAAGCAAGUUGAGUAUUUAAGGAUCCAGAGAGGCGAUAUUUAUGUAGUAACGUCGCCUAGAAGUCUACAAUGGUGUACUAAGGAGGCUAAAAUUAACGUUGCUGGUAAUAUUAAGUAUAAACUAAAAUGUGAGUUUUUUUUACCGUGUAUUCAUAUAUUAUUAUGGAUUAAAUGUCUAAAAUCUUUAGUUUUUUUUUCAAUUUGAUUCUUAAUUUUGUUUUUGAGAUUUAGUCCUAAUUGUGUAAAAUCUUUUUUAUUAGGUGGUUUUUUACCUUUAUACUUCAUGAAAAAAUAUAUAUAUAUAUAUAUAAACUCGGAUUGAUUUUUUGUUUUUGGUUGAUUUUGGUUUUUGAGACAGUUUUUUGAAGUCAAUGAUAGAUUUAUCACGGUUCCUAAAAUAUUUUAUAGGUAUUUUAAGUAAACAAUUUAAAAAUGGGUUUUUAAGUCAAAAAAGUUAAGCCCUGAUUUUUCAGCCAUUGUGGUGGCUGGAAUAUAAACAAAUCAAAUAACUUGUUCUCUGAUUUUUUUUUCAAAAAAAAGUAGGACAAAGGACAUGCUACAAAAGAAAUAAGAGUCCAAUCACGGGGGCUUGCCAGUGCAGGCUCACUUGGGGAACCUAACACAAUGGGCAAGGCGUCCGAACCCAACAAAGCUUGGCCUUUGUUUUUUUCUUGUAAAUUAUUAUUUCUUAAUUUUUUUAAAUGAAUGAUUUGUUUUGUUUUUUUCUCUAAUUUUUUUAUUUUUCAGAUUAUAUUUAUAACAUGUGUAACCGCGCAUCGUGUUUUUUUCCCCUUUUAUUCUAUUCAAUAAAUUUAAUUUGUGUUUCCAUUUUUAUUAUUAUUUUCUUUAAUAAAAAAUUAUCUUAAUAAAUAAAUUUAGCAAAUACAAUAAGAUAAAUUUCUUAUAUUUGAAGAUUAAAUAUCUUGAUGUAAACCUAAAUCUUAAUUUUCAAAGCUUUAUAAUUUUCGAAGCUUUAUACCUUAGAAAAUGAUACCUCAAUUUUGUACAUAUGAACUACGUUUUGCUUGGAAACCUCUGAAGGUGGAGCCUGUCACCGUGAGUCAACAGCUAGUCUUCAGCUUUAUUAAAGCAUAUAUACUAUUAUCUUCCAUCAUAUGUGGAUAGAAUGCACUCUUACUUUUCAAAGUUGGCUUAUUCAAUAGUGCGAAGUAUUUGAUACGUUCAUUAAUUAUCUUGGGCACGUGUGGACUUAAUUUCAAGAAUAGUUCCCUUGGAAUGCUGCUAAAAAUCAUGGUGGCUAUAAAGAAGAGCGGUGGAUAGGAGGAGAGCAUAACCAUGUUAGUCACAUAUAUUUCCAAGAUGAAGGCCUUUCUUAUCGCAUGCAUUCUCUUGGCUACCAUUGUCUUCUCUCCCUUAUCCACUUGCACUGCUCGAGAAUUGGCCGAGCGAGACGCAUCCCGAGGAGCUGUUGACCCCGGCAAAGUCCCAACUUACCCCAGUGACCCCUUUCCACCAGUGUACGGUUGCCCAAAUCCUUACAAGCGUAAUUGUGGGCGCCAUUAAGAUUAGAAGCAAGCAAAGUUGAGUACUGCUUAAAAGUAUGGAGAGCUAUACUACUAUCUUUAUCAAUAUGUAAAAUGAUCAGAACUAUUUAUGUGAGAAAAAUAAGCAAAGUUCUCCAGUG
RNA transcript from Populus trichocarpa (black cottonwood), 3019 nucleotides. RefSeq lists it as uncharacterized. NCBI's taxonomy places the organism in Eukaryota, Viridiplantae, Streptophyta, Magnoliopsida, Malpighiales, Salicaceae. The transcript is spliced from 3 exons. The record is from RefSeq and is a predicted model, not a curated record.